This 104-nucleotide small nuclear RNA is filed under the name Mus pahari (shrew mouse). The record is from RNAcentral. Lineage: Eukaryota; Metazoa; Chordata; Mammalia; Rodentia; Muridae.
GUGCUCACUUCGACAGCACAUAUACUAAAAGUGAAACCAUACAAAGAUUAGCAUGGCCCUUGCACAAGGAUGACAUGCAAAUUCAUGAAGCAUUCCAUAUUUUU